Molecule: ribosomal RNA, 253 nt
Filed under: uncultured bacterium
Lineage: Bacteria
Description: partial 16S ribosomal RNA
Rfam family: Bacterial small subunit ribosomal RNA
Source: RNAcentral
GACGUAGGGCGCGAGCGUUGUCCGGAUUUAUUGGGCGUAAAGGGCGCGUAGGCGGUUUGACAAGUCUGAUGUGAAAUCUAUGGGCUCAACCCAUAGCCUGCAUUAGAAACUGUCGGGCUUGAGUAUGGGAGAGGUGAGUGGAAUUUCCGGUGUAGCGGUGAAAUGCGUAGAUAUCGGAAGGAACACCUGUGGCGAAAGCGGCUCACUGGACCAUAACUGACGCUGAGGCGCGAAAGCUAGGGGAGCAAACAGG